This 167-nucleotide unclassified non-coding RNA is filed under the name soil metagenome. RNAcentral's name for it is "partial internal transcribed spacer 1". The record is from RNAcentral.
CCGAGUUUACAAACUCCCAAACCCUUGUGAACCUUACCGUAUCUGUUGCCUUCGGCGGGAUCAGCCCCGCUCCCUCGGUAAACCGGGACCAGGCGCCCGCCAGAGGACCCCUAAACCCUCAUGUCUUAUAUGUUUAACUCCUCUGAGUAACACAUAACAAUAAAUAA